ACGCUGGCGGCAGGCCUAACACAUGCAAGUCGAGCGGUAGAGAGAAGCUUGCUUCUCUUGAGAGCGGCGGACGGGUGAGUAAUGCCUAGGAAUCUGCCUGGUAGUGGGGGAUAACGCUCGGAAACGGACGCUAAUACCGCAUACGUCCUACGGGAGAAAGCAGGGGACCUUCGGGCCUUGCGCUAUCAGAUGAGCCUAGGUCGGAUUAGCUAGUUGGUGGGGUAAUGGCUCACCAAGGCGACGAUCCGUAACUGGUCUGAGAGGAUGAUCAGUCACACAGGAACUGAGACACGGUCCAGACUCCUACGGGAGGCAGCAGUGGGGAAUAUUGGACAAUGGGCGAAAGCCUGAUCCAGCCAUGCCGCGUGUGUGAAGAAGGUCUUCGGAUUGUAAAGCACUUUAAGUUGGGAGGAAGGGUUGUAGAUUAAUACUCUGCAAUUUUGACGUUACCGACAGAAUAAGCACCGGCUAACUCUGUGCCAGCAGCCGCGGUAAUACAGAGGGUGCAAGCGUUAAUCGGAAUUACUGGGCGUAAAGCGCGCGUAGGUGGUUAGUUAAGUUGGAUGUGAAAUCCCCGGGCUCAACCUGGGAACUGCAUUCAAAACUGACUGACUAGAGUAUGGUAGAGGGUGGUGGAAUUUCCUGUGUAGCGGUGAAAUGCGUAGAUAUAGGAAGGAACACCAGUGGCGAAGGCGACCACCUGGACUGAUACUGACACUGAGGUGCGAAAGCGUGGGGAGCGAAC
RNAcentral lists this ribosomal RNA (745 nucleotides) under uncultured bacterium. RNAcentral's name for it is "bacterial SSU rRNA". It matches the Rfam family "Bacterial small subunit ribosomal RNA", at positions 33 to 773 of the family's 1533-position model. The record is from RNAcentral.